Long non-coding RNA from Cucurbita maxima (winter squash), 1331 nucleotides. RefSeq lists it as uncharacterized. The transcript is spliced from 2 exons. The record is from RefSeq and is a predicted model, not a curated record. Lineage: Eukaryota; Viridiplantae; Streptophyta; Magnoliopsida; Cucurbitales; Cucurbitaceae.
CUUUAAUUUCAAUAAAAUAAAGUUUUGUACAAAUAAGUUUAACCAAUGCACAGAUGACCCAACGGCGCUACAUACGUGGCUGUCCAUCUAGGAAGCUACCCUCCACGUGGCCUUGAACCUGGAACGACGUGGCAUUAGCAGCCGAAAGCAAUUCUCCGACGUGGACUAACGAAGAUACUUGGCCCAAAAAGACUAACUUUCGUAAUGGGCUUUGAGAAUGGAUUGGCACAAAUGGGCCUGAGGCAGUACCGGCCCAUGUUUCGUAGGUUGGUAGCCCACAGAAUUCCAUUUCCCCCCAUAAAACGCUCCCUGUUCUUGGGUUCUCAAAAUGUGAACCAUUACCAAGAGUCAGUGGUUUCCGUUGAUCGCACGAAAACCGGCCAUGGAUUUGUAAAUAGAUUGAUCAAAAGCUAAGCCGUCACCUUUUUGAACGUAACAUAACUGUACAGAAGUGAUGAAAACUGAAGCCUUGAGCUAUUGGCAUGUGUGUCGGAGAAAAACUAUGUGCCGAUCUGGUUCUGUUGCCUGAGUCUCUGCUUCUUCACCGCCCCAACAAUGGGAUUUCAAUCAAACCUAAGAAUGCUUAGCCUCUGGCUUUCGUUUUCGGCUUUUGGUUCAUCCCUAAAAGAGGUUAAUAUCUAAAAAUGACCUCGACAUGGUGAUGGACACGUGUCCACCCUCCUCGAUCCUCAAAACCCUCGCGAAAAUCCAUAAAUCUUGUCCUUUCUUUCUUCUUCAGAUCUUUAUAUUCCUUCCUUCGCCUCCAUUUCCGCUCUCGCUGCUUUCUGGGUUUUCUACAGACCCUUUUUCGAUUUGGGUUUGUGUUUGUUUGGCGCUGGAAUCACCUGAUCUCCCGUUUCUCCCCUUUGCCUACGCGGGUUGAUCGUAUUGGAUUCUGCCAUCUCACAAUCCAUUUCCAUAGAAACUUUGUUGUUGGGUGAGGAUCUCGAGCAUUGAUGAUUAUUGCCUCUUGCUCGUGGUCUACCCCACGGAUCGAUUCGGGAGGCUUCAUUCGCUCUAAGGUUGGUUCCAGGAGUGUUAAUGAUUAUACAUUGUUAACUUUUCUCUCUGAAGAUCUAACAGGAACUUGGAGAAAUUUUCAAAUAUUUCGAGCCCGGCCGACGCUAAGAGAUGUGGAGUUUACAGAAUUCAGAAGCUUCUCUGAAUUUAACAUCUUCUAAAGUGAGAAUCCAUUGUUGUUUAUGUCCUUAAGCUUGGUAUUGAUCUUCUAAAGUGAUUACUUAUUUCCUUAAUAUCUGUCUGUUUGUAUAGAGGAUUGUGGUGCAUACUGCCUUUUGAAUUUGAUGUUUAUUGGACUUUCUCCAUGGAUA